UUUAGUUACUCUCCCUCUUCUGCCGCCUGGUGACUCCUCUGGACCCCCAUAUUUGCAUCUUAGGGUUGUCACCCUCCUUUUCCCCCAGAAACUCCCGGAGUUCAGGAAGACAGGCCUCUGAAACCAAUCUCUAACCUCUUUGCCUCCAUCCCCUCAUCCCUUUGCCCUGUGCUCUCCUGUAAAUAAGGAGGUCAAGGAAGAAAGGUGUUCUGGGAAGGGAGAGAGGAAGGGGCAAAGAGCAAAGGGCUGUGGGAUCCUCCAACUGAUCUCGAUCUGCCUCUGUCCCCAUGUCUCUCACAUGCUUGGGUCUCUGUGUUAUGGUCUCAGUCUCUGUCUCCCCCCGCAUCUCUUUCUGUUUCUCUCCACCAUGUCACCCUGUCUCUUUCCAGCCCCAUCUGGGAGAGAGAGAGCCUGGGAGGGAGGAGGAAGACUGAGAUUUCUAGCUCUCACCCCCUUCGUCCUGAGUCAAAGAGCCAGAAAGACAGAGAGAGAUGCAGUGUGAGAGAGAGAGAAUGAGAGAGAGACAGAGAGAGAGAGAGAGGAGUAGGAAGUGGAGCUUCAGGCAGAGGGUGCGAAAGGGGGUCUGGGAGGAGGACAGAGACAGAGACGCAUAGAGAUAGAGCGAGUUAAGGAGGCAAGGAGGAGGAGUGGGGUGACUCGGGGACCGAGGCAGGGGAGCAGAGAGAGAGUGAGGUGAUGGGGAAGGAGGGGAUGAGGGGCUAGAGCAGAAAUGGGGGCUCCCCUCCCUCACGGACCCCCUGGCUUGCUCACCAGCUCCGCUGUCCCCCUGUGCGCGGUUGCCUGCUUCUGUCGGUCUGUGUCCCCCUCACAUCCGCCCCCGCCUCCGUCCCUCAGCCCCUCUAACCCGGCUCCCCCAGGGACCGCCUGCCGGCUCCUGCUCCUGCAGGCUGCCCAUUAGAGGCUGAAAUGUGAUCACGCCGGCCCGGCCUCGCUCCCCACCUGGUGUCCGGGACGGCCAGAAACCUGACCCUCCUUCCCUCGGCCCCCCCCCGCCCCCCCGGGCCCCCAGACUUGGACGGCGCCAAAAACGGCUGGAUUGCUCGAAGCCUUGGAGCCCCCAGCCCAGAUGGAGAGAAUGGCAGGAGGGAAGAGGAGGAAACAGAGGCAGAAAGGUAAAAUGAGACCGGCAGAAAGGGGACCAAGAAGAGACGGAGCUGUUGAGACAGUCAGAAAUCCCCGGGUUGUCGUGAUGGGGGGAGCAAACUCAGCUUCCAGUUAGCCACAGAGAGUGGCUUCUCCUCCCAGCCCCUUGCCAGGUCCUCAGGGGGAGCAGCCCCCAGCCUCCCCCAGAGACCAACCCCCUCCUCCCCCAUCUCCAUUCCCAUGCUGUCCCAGGCGAGCCAGCCAACUUAUUAGCCGUCUAGACACAGACCAAAUUAGAGCCCCCAGCAGGGAAGGAAAGCUGCAGGUACCACGCUGGAGGUUAACCCCUUGCCCCCCAUUUUCCCAGCCCCUCAUCCAGAUCCUCCGCUUCCCAAUCUAGCCACAGGUGAAGGUGGCCAGGGGCUCUCCAGCUCCUGGCCGUCGAGACUAGAGGAAAGGCUCUUAACUUUGGGGGGCACUAGGGACCCUUUGGGCAGUCUGUGAACCCCUUCUGAGAAUCACGGUAUUAAAUGAAUACAAUUUAAUUCCACAGGAUUAAAAAAGAACGGAAGUACAUGAAAUACAAUUGGGAAAAAAAAAAUGCUUCCCAGACUCCAGUGUCUCCAGUUUGUGACUUUGAAGGUUCUAGAAUUCGACAAGUGAACGUAUCAGGGUUCUCUGUCGCUAAGGAUCUAGUCUCUUUGGGUUCUAGACUUCUGGGAUUUGGGAAUUCUAAGGUUCUAGGAUCUUAGUAUCCCAAGAUCCACAAAUUUGGCAGCCUUAGUCUUAAGGAAAGAAGCCUUUCUCCGACAGUUGGACCCUCCUAGAAUCGGAAGAGCUUCUCCCCGGCAGUCCCCCCCUCCCAUAUCCAAAGCCGGAUUCGGCCAUAGGCAAAGGGGAUGGAAGAUGGAGCUGGGGGGACCUGAUUCCCAGGACUUGGCUGGCUCGCCUCUGCAGGGAAAUCAGCCCCCACCCAUGAGAGGCCGGAGGGCCUUAGAGCCAGAUCAAGAACAGACAAGGAUGGGAGAGGAAGGCGCUGUGGUUCUGGGUCUUAGUUUUCUGCUCUCCACCAUGAGGGAAAUGGACAAAAUGAUCUUUAAGGAUAUCAUGGGGUGAAGACCCAGGAAGCCUUCCUCUGCCAACUUGCUCUGAUUUAAGGCAAGUCACAUGACCUCCGGCUUCCUUUUCAUCAUCUACAUAAUGGGAAUAAUUGACCCCUGCCCCCUGUCCCACAAUCCCAGAAUGGUUAUUACUUAUGAAGAAAAUGUUUUGCAAAACUUGAAAGAGGGAGGAAUGAGAAUCAUUUUUGGACCCUAAAUAGUCCCACAGGCUGUAGAAAGAAGCAGGGAGGGCUUCCUGGGAAACUAGGGCCGCCCGAGCCAGCCUCAGAAGGACUGGAAGCAAAGGAGAAAGGGAGGAACUGAGGAGCAGGAGGACCAGGGGCUGCUCAUGGGUAAAGGAUCUGGGAUUCUCCUCCGUCUCUAUUGCAGAGCCCCUGGGAAUUCACACUGGGACAGACAAAGAUCUGGGGGUCUUGGAGACUCCUGCUCAUCUGUAAUUCCAGACUUUAAAGGAAAAGGGCUCCUAGAGCCAGAGGAGGAUCCCUGCCCCCUCUCUCUGCCUUAGUUUCCUGCAGAGUCCUUUCAAUGGACUGAGACUCACAAAGUGCCCAAAUGGAUUAAAGAGUGGGACCAGUCGGGCUCUUUAUCCCGGGGAAGGUUCACGUCCCUGGGUCUGACCCCUGGAAGCUCCUUAAAUCAAGGACUAUUUUUCCUCUUCUUGUUUCUCCAGCACUCGGCAGUGCCCGGCAUGUGUUUGUUCUUCGGUCAUUUCAGUUUCACUCGCUGUGACUCCAUCCCUUAUUCCAUCCCCUCAUUUUACAGAUGAGGAAAUCAAGUCCUGAGCUAAGAAGUAGCUUAGCUGAGGUCACACGGCCAGCCCUGCAAGGCUCAGGCUGGGACAUCGGCUGACUGAUCCCCAGUGCAACCUCCCCCAAGUUCUAGGCUGCCGAGAUAAAUAAAAGACCAAAACUUUAAGCAGGUCUUUUGAGGGACAACUUGGGGGGGGGGGUUAUGGGGAGCCAGAGAAACAGCAAGCCAAGGUGAAAACUCACAGCAGAAACAAGGCUUGGGGGUCAUGGGGAGCCAGAGAAACAGCUAGGGUGCCAGAGAUGUCCGGCGUCACACAGCACACAGUCAGUACUGCAGCGGCUCACACUGAUGCUCACAGUCCUUAGUCCCGUGUCACACAGACAGAGAGGCAGGCAUGCUCACAUCGCAGCGGCGCACACCGGCCCAAGAAACCCAGACACGCGCCAAUCCUCUCAGUGCAUGUGAGUUUAAUUCUGGAUGAUACAAAAGAACUUGAAAAAAAAAAAAAACAACCCUAAACUAAUGUGCUCCUUUUCUCCCUGUAUCCCUUCCCUCAACCUGGAGAAAUAUAGAGACCUUG
Molecule: long non-coding RNA, 3555 nt
Organism: Sarcophilus harrisii (Tasmanian devil)
Lineage: Eukaryota; Metazoa; Chordata; Mammalia; Dasyuromorphia; Dasyuridae
Exons: 3
Source: RefSeq, a predicted model, not a curated record